CAUCGCCGCGGUAAAACGAAGGGUGCAAGCGUUACUCGGAAUUACUGGGCGUAAAGCGUGCGUAGGCGGCUUCUUAAGUCGGAUGUGAAAUCCCUGAGCUUAACUUAGGAAUUGCAUUCGAUACUGGGAAGCUAGAGUAUGGGAGAGGAUGGUAGAAUUCCAGGUGUAGCGGUGAAAUGCGUAGAGAUCUGGAGGAAUACCGAUGGCGAAGGCAGCCAUCUGGCCUAAUACUGACGCUGAGGUACGAAAGCAUGGGGAGCAAACAGGAUUAGAUACCCCCGUAGUCCCUGUCUCUUAUACA
Molecule: ribosomal RNA, 301 nt
Filed under: uncultured bacterium
Lineage: Bacteria
Description: partial 16S ribosomal RNA
Rfam family: Bacterial small subunit ribosomal RNA
Source: RNAcentral